This 497-nucleotide ribosomal RNA is filed under the name uncultured bacterium. Its description in RNAcentral is "partial 16S ribosomal RNA". It matches the Rfam family "Bacterial small subunit ribosomal RNA", at positions 28 to 507 of the family's 1533-position model. The record is from RNAcentral.
GAUGAACGCUGGCGGCGUGCCUAAUACAUGCAAGUCGAGCGAACAGACGAGGAGCUUGCUCCUCUGACGUUAGCGGCGGACGGGUGAGUAACACGUGGAUAACCUACCUAUAAGACUGGGAUAACUUCGGGAAACCGGAGCUAAUACCGGAUAAUAUAUUGAACCGCAUGGUUCAAUAGUGAAAGACGGUUUUGCUGUCACUUAUAGAUGGAUCCGCGCCGCAUUAGCUAGUUGGUAAGGUAACGGCUUACCAAGGCAACGAUGCGUAGCCGACCUGAGAGGGGGAUCGGCCACACUGGAACUGAGACACGGUCCAGACUCCUACGGGAGGCAGCAGUAGGGAAUCUUCCGCAAUGGGCGAAAGCCUGACGGAGCAACGCCGCGUGAGUGAUGAAGGUCUUCGGAUCGUAAAACUCUGUUAUUAGGGAAGAACAAAUGUGUAAGUAACUAUGCACGUCUUGACGGUACCUAACCAGAAAGCCACGGCUAACUACGUG